CUAUGGUGAUGAACGGUGUGAGGAAGCUCACCUGCCGAUGAUUUGUAAUUAGUGUCGUAUUUCAGCAGCUUUCGCUGGCGUUAAUGUUGUAAACUUUGGCAUUAUCCUAGCGUUUGUGGUUGCAGCACUCCCGGUCUUUUAUUGGCGUGUUUAGUUGUACUCCUCGCACUACUGCUUAUCUUAGCUAGUUGUCUUUGUUGCUAUCACCUACUGGCUCCCCGCACGGUUUUCAGUGUAGCUUGUCCAAGUUUCUUCCACCUUUUCUGAUCUGUUUUCCGUGGCUUUUGUUUGUAACUUCCACUAUUCCUAAUAAAGAGACCGUCUGCUCUGCGUCGGGGUCAAUCGGAACCUACACGUCACAUUUUUCACUUUAUAAUCGACAUCAAGUAAAGUUCAACUAAACAGGGUUGUCUCCAUGAUAAUGCCGCUGCAGAGACAAUUAAUAAUAAAAAAGAAGACGAGCGUGGGGGUUUGUCUGUGUGAUGAGGAGGAGGAGUAAACGAGGCAGAGGAAGAGGCGGAGGGAUGAAGGAGAGGGGGAGCAAGAGACCCCGUCGCGUUUUGACCCUCCGAAACCUUCCUGCACACCACCACCAUCAUCACCCCUCCUCUUCGUCCUCUCUUCUUGAGCCUGAAAACCACCAUCGCUCAUUCCCGGUGACAUUUUGCACUUUGCAGCGCGGACAACGAGCGUUCUCACUGGACCCUCUCCUUCCAACGCCAACGAGCAUCCCGACCGCUUGUGCAGCACAGCCGGACCGAGAGGCGCUGCAGGCGGAAGCGAGGGGCUGCAGGAAGCCGCUGCUUCUCUGGACUUAAAAACACACAACCGGGAGAUAUUUAGGUUUAGGAGGACCGAGGCUGAGCUUGCUGGACUAUAACCGGGCAGAGCAUCAUCAUCUCCGGGGAAGGACCGACUGGCGAGUCGCAUGGAGAAGAGGUAUGAAGAGCUGGUGCAGUACUCAGGGUCGGAGGGCAUGUCGCUGGGGGUGUACGGGGACGAUGUCAGACCGCUUCUACCCCCUCAGUAUGGAGCCGCCAUCCCCGACUCCCUCAAACACCACAAGGACCAGAUCUAUGGUCACCCACUGUUCCCACUGUUGGCCUUAGUUUUUGAAAAGUGUGAGCUUGCCACCUGCUCCCCCCGGGACUCCUCCUCCCUGUCAGCCACCUCCCACCUCCCUGGCAUGACCAACCACAGCGACGUGUGCUCCUCCGAAUCCUUCAACGAUGACAUUGCUGCAUUUGCUAAACAGAUUCGUUCUGAAAAACCCAUAUUUUCCUCCAAUCCUGAGCUGGACAACUUGAUGAUCCAGGCUAUACAGGUUCUUCGCUUUCAUUUACUGGAGUUAGAAAAGGUGCAUGACCUUUGUGAUAACUUCUGCCACCGUUACAUCACCUGUCUGAAGGGCAAAAUGCCCACAGACCUGGUCCUGGAUGAACGGGAUGGAGGCUCCAAGUCUGACAUGGAGGACUUUAAUGGAUCCUGCACCAGUUUGUCCGAACAGAAUGCAUCAUGGUUACGUGAGCCUGAUGAAUGUGCCACCACUCCUUUGGGAACACCAGGCACCUGUGGGCUGCCUUCACACAACACAGCAGACAACCACAGUGAUACAGGAGAUGGUCUGGAUGCUGGAGUGGCCUCCCCAAGCACAGGAGAUGACGACGAGUCUGACAGGGAGAGGAGGAACAACAAGAAGAGAGGCAUCUUCCCCAAAGUGGCAACAAACAUCAUGCGAGCUUGGCUCUUCCAGCAUUUGUCGCACCCGUACCCCUCGGAGGAGCAGAAGAAGCAGCUGUCGCAGGACACGGGUUUGACCAUCUUGCAGGUCAACAACUGGUUCAUCAAUGCGAGGAGGAGAAUUGUUCAGCCCAUGAUCGACCAGUCAAACCGCUCAGGUCAGGGUGGUCCCUACAGCCCAGAGGGAGCAGCGCUUGGGGGUUACGGGCUCGACGGACAAGCCCACCUCGGACUCCGAGCAGCAGGUACUGACGGCAUGCGCUUUGAGAUGAAGCAGCUUCAAAGUUGAACUUUUCUCCGCCUAAGGCAGGGGGGGCCAAACGUUGCCCCACCAAUGGCAGCAUACAGGAAAAUGGAAGGAUGGGGGGGCCACUGUGGUACAUUUUGUGCAAUAAAGAUGCUAAAACCAAUCCAAUGUAGGUCAAUAUAUGCUAAGCUAUCUGCACAAAACAUCCACAUCUUAGCUUUGCAUUACAGCUGACAAAGCAAAUUACACUAAUCCCUCGUUUAUCGCAGUUAAUUGGUUCCAGAGUCAAUUUCUGCAAAAUAGGAUUCCUUAUUUAUAAAUUGAAUAUUUUUCUAGUUAGAGCAUAGAAAACCAGUUUACGACCUUCUAAAUACAGUUUUAACGUUAUUAGAGCUCUCCAGACAUGACCUAACACCCCUACAGCCAGUUUUGCACUUCUAUUACCCGAUAUAAUGGACUGUUUUGUGUUGCUGUAAAAUGGCUUCCCAAGGGGAGCUGAUGGGGCACGGACAGGAAGCGAUGUGAGGUGGGGCGGCAUGGCUCAGGUGGUAGAGUGGUCGUCUCCCAACCUGAAGGUUGCGGAUUCGAUCCUCCGUGAUCGUGUCCAAGUGUCCUUGGGCAAGAAACUGAACCACCUACUGCUCCUGAUGCUGUGUCAUCAGUAGCUAAAUGUGCUAGCAGUGGAAAAGCGCUAUACAAGUGAAAAAUCAUUCACCAUGUCGGGGUUCAGAGUUGGUUUUUAGCUUGGCGUGGGUUACAGCCGCAACAGUAGCCCGUGUUUUUAUUUGGGAUUAUUGUGCCUGUUGUGAGAUCAUUCAAACCUGCAAUAAAAGCCUGUUGUUCUGGCAAUCAUCACUAACAUUACUGACACCUAGUGACCGGUGUCGAGUACUACAUGUCAUUCACAGCAUCUUUGAAUGAGUCUGAUGAAAGCCUUAUGUUUGUAUAUUUGUUUAUUUAGACAUUUUUAUGCUUUUCAUAUGAUUGUUUUUUUUGUGAAGCCUUUUGGCCAAAAUGUUGCUUUGGUGUCUCGGUUUGUGUUGUACAGCACGUAACAAACUAGUCUGUUUCCCCUGUACUGUAUCAUUCAGCCAAAUGACCAGACAAACAAAACCCCCAAUGUGGUGCUGACCACUAAAUAACCCGCCAUGGGGCCAAAGAAAGUGGGGAGAGCCACCAAUUUGAUAAAGGAGGUCUUCAGGGGAUGCCAUCUCUGCAGGGGGACUACCCUGGUGCUCUGCUGUCCCAAGCAGCCUACCCUCCCCACC
Dunckerocampus dactyliophorus (ringed pipefish) is the source of this 3255-nucleotide RNA transcript. It is a transcript of the gene named myeloid ecotropic viral integration site 3, with no coding region annotated. The transcript has 13 exons. Lineage: Eukaryota; Metazoa; Chordata; Actinopteri; Syngnathiformes; Syngnathidae. The record is from RefSeq and is a predicted model, not a curated record.